UGGGACAGUCAAGACAAGGCAACCACUUGGCAGCCCCGAACCAAGAUGUGAUGAUUUCCAUGAGCUGAUCCUCUGGGUUGUGACGCACAUUGUUGGUAUUAUUCCAAUAUCCUUUGGCUUCCAUUGUUGCUUUGGAGAAGUCCGUCAACUUGAUGUUCCUUUAGGAAAUGGAAAAGAACGCAUUUUUCAGAUCAAUAUCUGCAUACCAUGUGCCAGAGUAUGUAUUGUAAUAAUGAUGCCACAGAAGGCAUAAUUGGGGAUACCAAUUGAUAAAACGCAUGGCAGUCCAUCAUCAUCUGCCGUGAUUCAUUUGGAGUUUUGCAGGAGUCAUAGCAGUGAAUUGAAUGAGGACAUGAUGGAGAUCACCAACCUAACAUCCUUCAAGUCUUUGACGGUGGCAUUAAUAUUGGCAAUCCUACCCUGGAUGAAGUCUUGCUUCAGGUUAACUACCAUGGUGGACAUUGUGAUGUGGUGCUCAGAUUCCCCCUACAGGAAUCUCUCCAACUUAUUUCCUCAGCUGUCAGCUCUCUUUUGGAAUUGCCUUGGCUAAAGAGAGCUCCUCACCCUGGGUCAUGUCUCUCUUCCAAAGGAAGCCCACGUUGAAUGACUGAUUAAUGCAGGGAAUAUCAAAUUCUAGCCCCCUCACCCUAAUUCAAGACAACUGUGGAGGGCUAUCUCAGCUUUAGAGCACCCUGUGGGGUUGCUGAGGGCUUCACUGAGAUUGCAUCACAGCCCAACUUUUCCUUUGUCCAGUCCUGCUUCCUCCCCACAGCAGAUAUUUAUCUUGAAGUCACUCCCUAAUAAACCUUCUGCAGUGUCUCAGAGUCUGCUUCCUAGGGAACCCAAGCUAUCACAACCAUCUUGGUCAGUA
This 871-nucleotide long non-coding RNA is filed under the name Equus asinus (donkey). RNAcentral describes it as "lncRNA (ENSEASG00005027343.1)". The record is from RNAcentral. Lineage: Eukaryota; Metazoa; Chordata; Mammalia; Perissodactyla; Equidae.